UACGUAGGGGGCAAGCGUUGUCCGGAAUCAUUGGGCGUAAAGAGCGUGUAGGCGGCUCGGUAAGUCCGCUGUGAAAGUCCAGGGCUCAACCCUGGAAUGUCGGUGGAAACUGUCGAGCUAGAGUCCGGAAGAGGCGAGUGGAAUUCCUGGUGUAGCGGUGAAAUGCGCAGAUAUCAGGAGGAACACCAAUGGCGAAGGCAGCUCGCUGGGACGGUACUGACACUGAGACGCGAAAGCGUGGGGAGCAAACAGG
This 253-nucleotide ribosomal RNA is filed under the name uncultured bacterium. RNAcentral's name for it is "partial 16S ribosomal RNA". It matches the Rfam family "Bacterial small subunit ribosomal RNA", at positions 524 to 776 of the family's 1533-position model. The record is from RNAcentral.